AGAGCUUUAAGUUAAGCAAACUAUUAACCUUCAAAGUUAAACAUAUAUUACAUUAUAUAAGCUUUA
This 66-nucleotide transfer RNA is filed under the name Mattiphus splendidus. RNAcentral's name for it is "tRNA-Trp". The record is from RNAcentral. Lineage: Eukaryota; Metazoa; Arthropoda; Insecta; Hemiptera; Tessaratomidae.